RNAcentral lists this ribosomal RNA (888 nucleotides) under Tephromela grumosa. Its description in RNAcentral is "SSU rRNA". It matches the Rfam family "Bacterial small subunit ribosomal RNA", at positions 367 to 1202 of the family's 1533-position model. Lineage: Eukaryota; Fungi; Ascomycota; Lecanoromycetes; Lecanorales; Tephromelataceae. The record is from RNAcentral.
GUCAAUAGCCUAACGGCUGAACCAGCAACUUGGAGGAAUGUAUAGCAAUAGCUGAUUGCAGCAACAAACAGUUGCUGCAAGAUCGACGAUGUCGAAUAAAAUUCUAGGUAGAAUUAUGAUAAUGACAUUGUCUACCUAUGUGUCUUGACCAAAUUACGUGCCAGCAGUCGCGGUAAUACGUAGAAGACUAGUGUUAUUCAUCUUUAAUUGGUUUAAAGGGUACCUAGACGGCAAAUCAAGCCUUAAGGAGGGACUAAUUUGCUAGAGUUACUUAUGAGGGGGUUUAAAAGUACUGCUGGUGUAGAGAUGAAAUUCUAUCAUACCUCGGUUUCUAUUGAGACAACAUGGCACAGGUAUAGGCGAAAGCAUCCCCUUAUGUGAUAACUGACGUUGAAGGACGAAGGCUUUGUGUCGCGAACAGGAUUAGAUACCCCAGUAGUCAAAGCAGAAAAUGAUGAAUGUCAUAGGUUAGAUAUUAUUUAUCCUAUAAAUGAAAGUGUAAGCAUUCCACCUCAAGAGUAAUUUGGCAACAUUGGAACUGAAAUCAUUAGACCGUUUCUGAAACCAGUAGUGAAGUAUGUUGUUUAAUUAGAUGAUCCGCAAAAAACCUUACCACAAUCUGAAUAUUUAUAUCUCUUCUUUUCUCUUUUUUUAUCUUUUUUUCCUUCUUUAUUUAUCCUUGAUAAAUAAAAGAGAAAAAGAAAAAAAGAUAAAAAAUAAGAGAAGAAAAUGUAUUUACAAGCCGUUGCACGGCUGUCUUCAGUUAAUGUCGUGAGACUAUGGUUAGUUCCAUUAAAUUAACGUAAACCCUUACUUUAUUUUUAUAUAGAGUUGUUCCCCGCUAGAUUGGAUAUGAUAACAGGGACUAGGACAAGUCAUCAUGGCCUA